CUAAGGUUAUUUUGUAACAUAUAAUGCUAAGGUUUGUAAUAUGUUUGUGUAUCUCGUCCAAGUGGGAGAUUGUAAGAUAUAUGGACUUAUAUCUACAUCAUAUGAACAAUAUAUGGAUAAAUUAUAUGUUAUGUGCUAUCUUUUGGUUUGGCCUCAUUUUGUGGUCUUAUGGACAUUAUGUUAAGGGGGCCAAUGUGUUGUCAUAUAAAGUGUAGGACUAAUGUGUAGAUACCCAAAAGGGUAACCUUAGUNNNN
RNAcentral lists this long non-coding RNA (255 nucleotides) under Nicotiana benthamiana. Its description in RNAcentral is "long non-coding RNA (NBEN_LNC022345)". Lineage: Eukaryota; Viridiplantae; Streptophyta; Magnoliopsida; Solanales; Solanaceae. The record is from RNAcentral.